CAUUUGGAGAACGAAAGAAGACCAACAAGUGCGCG
RNAcentral lists this small RNA (35 nucleotides) under Drosophila melanogaster (fruit fly). Its description in RNAcentral is "small non-coding RNA 204 (Dmel_CR33657)". The record is from RNAcentral. Lineage: Eukaryota; Metazoa; Arthropoda; Insecta; Diptera; Drosophilidae.